RNAcentral lists this long non-coding RNA (3710 nucleotides) under Trifolium pratense (red clover). RNAcentral's name for it is "long non-coding RNA (TPRA_LNC000890)". The record is from RNAcentral. Lineage: Eukaryota; Viridiplantae; Streptophyta; Magnoliopsida; Fabales; Fabaceae.
CUUAUUUGAAUUUUUCUCAAUUUUAUCAAACGGCAUCUUUUAUUUUUCACUUAAUUUUACUCUAUUUUUAUUAAUCAUUUGAGUUUAACAUCUUAGUUAUUUUAUCUCCUUCUAUGAACUUCAUUUACGUAGAACCGGAAUUCAUAUAUAAUAGAAAAUACCACAGAGGUCACAUACAAUAAUAAAUCACGGUCAUUAUUUUUUAUCGAAUAACUCAUAUUAUACAAUUAGUAAAUUAAUUUUAAAAAUAUCAACCACUUAUUUAGAUGGUAUGGUUAAGAUCUAUAGCUGCAUGAAAUUCAUUUCCUGUUUAGUGAACUAGUAUAACGAGUCGUGUAUGUACGUGGUAUAUGGUUUUUAUAAUUUUUUAACAGAUUUUAUACAUGAUGACAGUAAAUUAUAUGAUUUUUUAGUAGUAAUUUAAGAUAGUUCAUUGAAGCCCAAAAACAAGCAAAUACAUGGAAAAGUGAAGUUACUUGGCCCAUAAGCAAGAAAAGUGGAAAAAGCAGCAAAAAAAGGGCAAAAACGUAAUAAACAGCGCAGCUAUCGUACCUACGAUGAGAUCCAGCGUGACGCGAUGAGAAGACAGUUUAAAUUGAAGAAAAUCUGCAACAAAUCAUUAUCAUCGUACCACGAUGACUUAUCAUCGUGGCACGAUGAAGGCAGUUGAAGAAAGCAUAAAAUCUGGAGAAGAUCUUCCAUCGUACCACGAUAUGAUCCAUUGUGGGAACGAUGAGGCGAAAAUACACGUCAUCGUGGCCACGAUGGGUGCGAUGGACGCGCAGAAAUAGUCCAAACCCAGCUGAAAAACUAUAAAUAGAGUCUUCUUCCUUCACUAUUAUUCAUUCCAAUAAUAUUCCAAAAUAUUCAGAGACAUUGAAUAUUCACUCUAGAGUUAUGAGAACUCUAAGGAGGAGACAAUGAGGGCCAAGGAACUUCAAGACCAAUAAGGUUUUUUUCUUUUCUGUCUUUGUAAUUUAUUUUCUCCUAGGUUAGGUGGAGUCGAUGAACUCCCUUACGAAUGUUUGAUUUUGUAUAAUUUGGGUAUAAAUUCAGUUGUUCCUAUUGAAACUCUUUUAUUGUCUGGUUUUUAUAUUUAUAUUAAUACUGAUCACAAUAUAAUAAAAUCUAAGGAAAUUAGUGGAUAUCAGAUAGGAAACGAAGCUAAUUAUCCCGAGCGAAGGAUGGUGUGCUAAGGUCCAACAUGAGACCAUUAAAUUCAGUAUCUGAGGUCUUAGUAGUAUAGGAUUAGACAGCUUAGUCUAGAACGAUAAAUUCUACCUGAAGUCAGAGUUAUGACUAGUUUGAGGCACAUGUGACAGCUUGCGAAACAUUGAGCCUUAAGGGUAAGGAUACCUAAGUUUAAACGAAAAAGUGGAACCAACUGGGGCGAGGAUAUUUAAGCAGAGUAAGACAACCUAAACUAGGCUCUCACCAGUUUGUAAUAGAAAUAGGGAACGAGUGCUUCUGAACCUAUUUUAUAAGACAAAUCCUGAUAGAGGGGAAUAAUGGAAUUAACCACCAAGCAGUAGUAAGAGAUGGAUUCGAAAACACUUAAUCACCCGCGUGAACACACACGCACCUUUAUUUUACUUUUUAGUCAUUUACUUUCCUGCAAUUUACUUUUUACCCGCACAACUAUCUCUAAACAAAGCGAAUGCAAAAUUAUUCAUAAGCGAAACUAGUAAUUUUGACAUUAUCCCUAUAGAGAACGAUAACUUAUCACUUUAUUACUUGGUUGCGAUUAUGUGCAUUUGCAGAGCCACCAUCAAUGCAUCAUAAUAUGCAUUAUGUAAAUUACAUAUAUUAAAUAUAGAUUUAAUUGCAUAUUAUAUUCAAUCUUAUUAUUUUAUUACAUUAACAAAACUGAUCCUUCAACCCUUCAGACCCGUCACCGAGAAAAUAAUAUUUUUGGUUACUCAAGUAUAAAUUUUAUUUUUUUAAUUUUGGUCUAAAUUCAUAAGUUUGUCCCUCAAUUUCAUAUUAAAAUUGGAGCAAUAAAUCAUCAUUUUUUUGACAAAAAAUUAAUUUUACAAAGGGAAUCAUUUUUGUGGGAGUAAUAAAAUAGUGACAACUAUAUAUACAUAAAAUAUAUUGUUAAAACUCUAGAAGAAGAUUUUUUUUAAGUAAUUAAAAAACGUAAAUAAAAUAAUUAAGGGAGAAUUGAAGGAUAUGAAUUGUCUGAUGUCUGUUUUCCUAUAACAAUGUGUACUGCACCAUUCUGAUCAUCUGACUGAUUAAUUCAAUGGUUCACAUAUUUCUUUAUAAUAAAAGAUGAUGAGAGAGUUGUAAAAAUGGAAAGAAGAAACCGAAAUUAAAACCGAUUUAAUCUCGUAGAAACUUGUCUUCUUCAAAUUACCUAAUGUUAUCUUAAAAUAAUAUUUUUAUAUAAGAGUUGAGAAUUUAUUGCAUUUUAGUCUUCAUUAAGAGAAAUUUUACUUUUUAAAUUUAUUAAAAAUAUAAUACAUCUUGUCAAUAAAUGAACUAAAUACAUUAGAGAAAAUUUUUAAAGUCUAAUAUAAGAAAAACUUUACUUUUUAAAUUCAUUAAAAAUAUAAUAUAUUUAAUCAAUAUAUGAACUAGAUACAUUAAAUUCCCAAUAAAUCUAAAAAGCAAAAUUUAUUUUAUAUUAAGAACUUGAGGCAGUAUUAAACACACCCUAAUCUAUAUCUAUACUCUAUAACAAAAGUAAUAUUAAGCUUAGUGCAUCGAUUCAUAUGUGGUGGGGUGGAAAUAAGCUGCAAUAUUAUUCGAUGUCAUGGUGAUACUUCUAAAUUGUGGUUGGAUCGAAGGGAGUAAGAAAGAAGAUAAUCAAAGUAAAUACUUUUUUUUAUUACUAUGAUAUUGUUAUCAGGUUUUUACCGGCGUUAGCGAUAAUUAAUCUCCAUCGAAGAAUCUAUGGGACAUACAAAGUGGGUUCUCCCCUCCCAAAAUAAUUUUCUUCAUACGAAUGAGCCAAGAAUCGAACUCACCCCUGACCACAUGCUUAAGAAAACCAAAACUCUUAGUACUACUUGGACCAAUUCAUUGUUGAUAAAUACUAUAUUUUUUAUACUAUCAUUUUUUAGUACAAAAUCAUAUAUAAUUGUACUCAUAGAAUCUCAAUUGAGUUACAUUUUUUAUCAAUGCACUUAAUAGCGUAAAACAUGUUCGCACUUUGUGGACAAUCGGCAUCGGUGUCACAAUCAAUAUUGUUCUCAUUAUUAAUAUAUAUAUACACUGUAAUGAAAAAAGAUAAUAAAAUAAUGUUACUAAACUAUGAUAAAAAGUUGUAUAUAUGAAUUAUGAAGCUAAGAAGGAAAUUUGAAAACGAUAAAAAAAUUGGCUUAACACCACCAAUAUAUGUUGCGACAAGAAAUUGAGUCAUACCAAAAAUAUAUAAACUUGAGAAUUUUAGCUUAGUCCAUGGAAUCAUAAGUGGUGGGGUUGGAAAUAAGGUGUGAUAAUUUGUUGUAAGUGUGAUAAUUCUAAAAUUAAGAGAGAAGAAGAUAAUCAUAUUAUUUCGAAAAAAGAAGAUAAUCAAAAUAAUACCCUUUAUUUUCAUAUUAUCAUAGAGUACAAAAUCAUAAUUUCAAGGUUCAUGAAAUUAGGAAAAGAUUAUUUCUUUUUUUAUUGGGUGCUAGCACAAUAAUUAAAUGACACACCUCAUGAAAUAUUCUAUCAUAAAGUUUAUUGUAUAUUUUUUCUUAUAGUAGAGACGAGACACUNNN